Molecule: ribosomal RNA, 693 nt
Filed under: uncultured bacterium
Lineage: Bacteria
Description: bacterial SSU rRNA
Rfam family: Bacterial small subunit ribosomal RNA
Source: RNAcentral
AACGCUAGCUACAGGCUUAACACAUGCAAGUCGAGGGGCAGCAUGAACUUAGCUUGCUAAGUUUGAUGGCGACCGGCGCACGGGUGAGUAACACGUAUCCAACCUGCCGAUGACUCGGGGAUAGCCUUUCGAAAGAAAGAUUAAUACCCGAUGGCAUAGUUCUUCCGCAUGGUAGAACUAUUAAAGAAUUUCGGUCAUCGAUGGGGAUGCGUUCCAUUAGGUUGUUGGCGGGGUAACGGCCCACCAAGCCUUCGAUGGAUAGGGGUUCUGAGAGGAAGGUCCCCCACAUUGGAACUGAGACACGGUCCAAACUCCUACGGGAGGCAGCAGUGAGGAAUAUUGGUCAAUGGACGAGAGUCUGAACCAGCCAAGUAGCGUGAAGGAUGAAGGUCCUACGGAUUGUAAACUUCUUUUAUAAGGGAGUAAAACCUCCCACGUGUGGGAGCUUGUAUGUACCUUAUGAAUAAGCAUCGGCUAACUCCGUGCCAGCAGCCGCGGUAAUACGGAGGAUGCGAGCGUUAUCCGGAUUUAUUGGGUUUAAAGGGAGCGUAGGCGGAUUGUUAAGUCAGUUGUGAAAGUUUGCGGCUCAACCGUAAAAUUGCAGUUGAUACUGGCAGUCUUGAGUGCAGUAGAGGUGGGCGGAAUUCGUGGUGUAGCGGUGAAAUGCUUAGAUAUCACGAAGAACUCCGAUUG